UACGAAGGGGGCUAGCGUUGUUCGGAAUUACUGGGCGUAAAGCGCACGUAGGCGGAUAUUUAAGUCAGGGGUGAAAUCCCAGAGCUCAACUCUGGAACUGCCUUUGAUACUGGGUAUCUUGAGUAUGGAAGAGGUAAGUGGAAUUGCGAGUGUAGAGGUGAAAAUUCGUAGAUAUUCGCAGGAACACCAGUGGCGAAGGCGGCUUACUGGUCCAUAACUGACGCUGAGGUGCGAAAGCGUGGGGAGCAAACAGG
This 254-nucleotide ribosomal RNA is filed under the name uncultured bacterium. RNAcentral describes it as "partial 16S ribosomal RNA". It matches the Rfam family "Bacterial small subunit ribosomal RNA", at positions 524 to 776 of the family's 1533-position model. The record is from RNAcentral.